This 303-nucleotide ribosomal RNA is filed under the name Salmonella enterica. RNAcentral describes it as "partial 23S ribosomal RNA". It matches the Rfam family "Bacterial large subunit ribosomal RNA", at positions 1250 to 1556 of the family's 2925-position model. Lineage: Bacteria; Pseudomonadati; Pseudomonadota; Gammaproteobacteria; Enterobacterales; Enterobacteriaceae. The record is from RNAcentral.
UUGAAGGUGGCCUGUGAGGGUUGCUGGAGGUAUCAGAAGUGCGAAUGCUGACAUAAGUAACGAUAAAGCGGGUGAAAAGCCCGCUCGCCGGAAGACCAAGGGUUCCUGUCCAACGUUAAUCGGGGCAGGGUGAGUCGACCCCUAAGGCGAGGCCGAAAGGCGUAGUCGAUGGGAAACGGGUUAAUAUUCCCGUACUUGGUGUUACUGCGAAGGGGGGACGGAGAAGGCUAUGUUGGCCGGGCGACGGUUGUCCCGGUUUAAGCGUGUAGGCUGGUUUUCCAGGCAAAUCCGGAAAAUCAAGGC